This 427-nucleotide ribosomal RNA is filed under the name uncultured bacterium. Its description in RNAcentral is "partial 16S ribosomal RNA". It matches the Rfam family "Bacterial small subunit ribosomal RNA", at positions 355 to 774 of the family's 1533-position model. The record is from RNAcentral.
UGGGGAAUAUUGCACAAUGGGCGCAAGCCUGAUGCAGCCAUGCCGCGUGUAUGAAGAAGGCCUUCGGGUUGUAAAGUACUUUCAGCGGGGAGGAAGGCGAUAAGGUUAAUAACCUUGUCGAUUGACGUUACCCGCAGAAGAAGCACCGGCUAACUCCGUGCCAGCAGCCGCGGUAAUACGGAGGGUGCAAGCGUUAAUCGGAAUUACUGGGCGUAAAGCGCACGCAGGCGGUCUGUCAAGUCGGAUGUGAAACCCCCGGGCUCAACCUGGGAACUGCAUUCGAAACUGGCAGGCUAGAGUCUUGUAGAGGGGGGUAGAAUUCCAGGUGUAGCGGUGAAAUGCGUAGAGAUCUGGAGGAAUACCGGUGGCGAAGGCGGCCCCCUGGACAAAGACUGACGCUCAGGUGCGAAAGCGUGGGGAGCAAACA